This 483-nucleotide ribosomal RNA is filed under the name uncultured bacterium. Its description in RNAcentral is "partial 16S ribosomal RNA". It matches the Rfam family "Bacterial small subunit ribosomal RNA", at positions 28 to 507 of the family's 1533-position model. The record is from RNAcentral.
GACGAACGCUGGCGGCGUGCUUAACACAUGCAAGUCGAACGCUGAAGCUCAGCUUUUGUUGGGUGGAUGAGUGGCGAACGGGUGAGUAACACGUGAGUAACCUGCCCCCUUCUUUGGGAUAACGCCCGGAAACGGGUGCUAAUACUGGAUAUUCACUGGUCUUCGCAUGGGGGUUGGUGGAAAGGGUUUUUCUGGUGGGGGAUGGGCUCGCGGCCUAUCAGCUUGUUGGUGGGGUGAUGGCCUACCAAGGCUUUGACCGGUAGCCGGCCUGAGAGGGUGACCGGUCACAUUGGGACUGAGAUACGGCCCAGACUCCUACGGGAGGCAGCAGUGGGGAAUAUUGCACAAUGGGCGCAAGCCUGAUGCAGCGACGCCGCGUGAGGGAUGGAGGCCUUCGGGUUGUGAACCUCUUUCGCUCAUGGUCAAGCCGCAACAAUGGUUGUGGUGAGGGUAGUGGGUAAAGAAGCGCCGGCUAACUACGUG